CCUGACUGCUAUCGGAUUGAUACUAAGCCAUGCGAGUCAUUGUAGCAAUACAAGGCAUACGGCUCAGUAACGCGUAGUCAACCUAACCUAUGGACGGGAAUAACCUCGGGAAACUGAGAAUAAUGCCCGAUAGAACACUAUACCUGGAAUGGUUUGUGUUCCAAAUGAUUUAUCGCCAUAGGAUGGGGCUGCGGCCUAUCAGUUUGUUGGUGAGGUAAUGGCCCACCAAGACUAUUACAGGUACGGGCUCUGAGAGGAGUAGCCCGGAGAUGGGUACUGAGACACGGACCCAGGCCCUAUGGGGCGCAGCAGGCGAGAAAACUUUGCAAUGUGCGAAAGCACGACAAGGUUAAUCCGAGUGAUUUGUGCUAAACGAAUCUUUUGUUAGUCCUAGAAACACUAACGAAUAAGGGGUGGGCAAGUUCUGGUGUCAGCCGCCGCGGUAAAACCAGCACCUCAAGUGGUCAGGAUGAUUAUUGGGCCUAAAGCAUCCGUAGCCGGCUCUGUAAGUUUUCGGUUAAAUCUGUACGCUUAACGUACAGGCUGCCGGGAAUACUGCAGAGCUAGGGAGUGGGAGAGGUAGACGGUACUCGGUAGGAAGUGGUAAAAUGCUUUGAUCUAUCGAUGACCACCUGUGGCGAAGGCGGUCUACCAGAACACGUCCGACGGUGAGGGAUGAAAGCUGGGGGAGCAAACCGGAUUAGAUACCCGGGUAGUCCCAGCUGUAAACUAUGCAAACUCAGUGAUGCAUUGGCUUGUGGCCAAUGCAGUGCUGCAGGGAAGCCGUUAAGUUUGCCGCCUGGGAAGUACGUACGCAAGUAUGAAACUUAAAGGAAUUGGCGGGGGAGCACCACAAGGGGUGAAGCCUGCGGUUC
This 875-nucleotide ribosomal RNA is filed under the name uncultured marine group I thaumarchaeote. Its description in RNAcentral is "bacterial SSU rRNA". It matches the Rfam family "Archaeal small subunit ribosomal RNA", at positions 21 to 903 of the family's 1478-position model. The record is from RNAcentral. Lineage: Archaea; Thermoproteati; Nitrososphaerota.